CCCUUAGAGUUUGAUCCUGGCUCAGAUUGAACGCUGGCGGCAGGCCUAACACAUGCAAGUCGAGCGGUAGAGAGAAGCUUGCUUCUCUUGAGAGCGGCGGACGGGUGAGUAAUGCCUAGGAAUCUGCCUGGUAGUGGGGGAUAACGUUCGGAAACGGACGCUAAUACCGCAUACGUCCUACGGGAGAAAGCAGGGGACCUUCGGGCCUUGCGCUAUCAGAUGAGCCUAGGUCGGAUUAGCUAGUUGGUGGGGUAAUGGCUCACCAAGGCGACGAUCCGUAACUGGUCUGAGAGGAUGAUCAGUCACACUGGAACUGAGACACGGUCCAGACUCCUACGGGAGGCAGCAGUGGGGAAUAUUGGACAAUGGGCGAAAGCCUGAUCCAGCCAUGCCGCGUGUGUGAAGAAGGUCUUCGGAUUGUAAAGCACUUUAAGUUGGGAGGAAGGGUUGUAGAUUAAUACUCUGCAAUUUUGACGUUACCGACAGAAUAAGCACCGACUAACGCU
Molecule: ribosomal RNA, 506 nt
Filed under: uncultured bacterium
Lineage: Bacteria
Description: bacterial SSU rRNA
Rfam family: Bacterial small subunit ribosomal RNA
Source: RNAcentral